AUUGAACGCCGGCGGAAUGCUUUACACAUGCAAGUCGAACGGCAGCACGGACUUCGGUCUGGUGGCGAGUGGCGAACGGGUGAGUAAUGUAUCGGAACGUGCCCAGUCGUGGGGGAUAACGUAGUGAAAAUUACGCUAAUACCGCAUACGAUCUAUGGAUGAAAGCGGGGGAUCGCAAGACCUCGCGCGAUUGGAGCGGCCGAUAUCAGAUUAGGUAGUUGGUGGGGUAAAGGCCCACCAAGCCAACGAUCUGUAGCUGGUCUGCGAGGACGACCAGCCACACUGGAACUGAGACACGGUCCAGACUCCUACGGGAGGCAGCAGUGGGGAAUUUUGGACAAUGGGCGAAAGCCUGAUCCAGCCAUUCCGCGUGCAGGAUGAAGGCCCUCGGGUUGUAAACUGCUUUUGUACAGAACGAAAAGGUUUCUACUAAUACUAGGAGCUCAUGACGGUACUGUAAGAAUAAGCACCGGCUAACUACGUGCCAGCCGCCGCAGUAA
This 500-nucleotide ribosomal RNA is filed under the name uncultured bacterium. RNAcentral describes it as "partial 16S ribosomal RNA". It matches the Rfam family "Bacterial small subunit ribosomal RNA", at positions 30 to 523 of the family's 1533-position model. The record is from RNAcentral.